CUUACACCAGCUCGCCUGCACUCUGACUAUUUUUUCGAUAACCAGGGCUAUGCUGUUUUUUUUAUCUACUUCACUUGCAAGUGUGAUCUAUGUUUGCAACUAUUGUACAUUGGUUGUGCUUAAUUCGAAAACUGUAUUUUUAGUGACUUAUGACUGGUCUUUAAGGUAAUAACGGCUUUAUUUGUUGAUUUCAGGAAAUGUACUCUCUUGUCCAUUUUUUGGCGGAAAAUGAUGUCGCAGUUGUCCCUACCUGUUGGGUGUGCAAUGGCUGCACGGCAUGGCCACCCUACAAAUCAAAUCUGUUGAUGAUGGCAAUUAGAGAGCGUGAAGAGCCCUCGACUGACUGGGCCACAUUCUCCUGUCAGGUGAUGGCAUCAUGUUUGACACAUGAAGAUGCAAAGUACAAAGAAAAAAAAUUCGGAAGCGACGUCCGACCUAACAUUGAAUAAUGAAGAGCGGGAGAAGAGAAAAAGGAAGAGACUGCAGCAUACUCAGCAUAAGGAAGAGACUGCAGCAUACAUUUGAGGAUGAGGACUUCUAUGACCAAGAUGAACGACGUAACACUCAGCCAGCCCCUCAACUUCCAGAACGUGCACCAGAGCCCAAGCAAAAACGCACACGU
RNAcentral lists this long non-coding RNA (622 nucleotides) under Ixodes scapularis (black-legged tick). RNAcentral's name for it is "uncharacterized LOC121834544". The record is from RNAcentral. Lineage: Eukaryota; Metazoa; Arthropoda; Arachnida; Ixodida; Ixodidae.